GAUGAACGCUGGCGGCGUGCUUAACACAUGCAAGUCGAACGAUGAAGCCCAGCUUGCUGGGUGGAUUAGUGGCGAACGGGUGAGUAACACGUGAGUAACCUGUCCUUAACUCUGGGAUAAGCCUGGGAAACUGGGUCUAAUACCGGAUAGGAGCGUCCACCGCAUGGUGGGUGUUGGAAAGAUUUAUCGGUUUUGGAUGGACUCGCGGCCUAUCAGCUUGUUGGUGAGGUAAUGGCUCACCAAGGCGACGACGGGUAGCCGGCCUGAGAGGGUGACCGGCCACACUGGGACUGAGACACGGCCCAGACUCCUACGGGAGGCAGCAGUGGGGGAUAUUGCACAAUGGGCGCAAGCCUGAUGCAGCGACGCCGCGUGAGGGAUGACGGCCUUCGGGUUGUAAACCUCUUUCAGUAGGGAAGAAGCGAAAGUGACGGUACCUGCAGAAGAAGCACCGGCUAACUACGUG
Molecule: ribosomal RNA, 466 nt
Filed under: uncultured bacterium
Lineage: Bacteria
Description: partial 16S ribosomal RNA
Rfam family: Bacterial small subunit ribosomal RNA
Source: RNAcentral